RNAcentral lists this ribosomal RNA (497 nucleotides) under uncultured bacterium. Its description in RNAcentral is "partial 16S ribosomal RNA". It matches the Rfam family "Bacterial small subunit ribosomal RNA", at positions 28 to 507 of the family's 1533-position model. The record is from RNAcentral.
GAUGAACGCUGGCGGCGUGCCUAAUACAUGCAAGUCGAGCGAACAGACGAGGAGUUUGUUCCCUGGACGAUUGCGGCGGACGGGAGUAUCACACGUGGAACACCUCCCUUAAAGACGGGGAACACUUGGGGAAACCGGCGCAAAUACCGGAUAAUAUAAUGAACCAUAUGGUUCACUAAUAAAAUACGGUUUUGUUGCUACUUAUAGAUGGUUCCGUGCCUCAUUAGGUUGUUGGUAAGGUAGCGGCUUACGAAGACGACAAUGAGUAGCCGACAGGGGAGGGGGAUCGGCCACCCGGGAACGGGGACACGGUCCAGACUCCUACGGGGGGCGGCAGUAGGGAAUCUUCCGCAAUGGGCGAAAGCCUGACGGAGCAACGCCGCUUGAGGGAUGAGGGUCUUCGGUUCGUAAAACUCUGUUAUUAGGGAAGAACAAUUGUGGAAGGAACUAUGCACGUCUUGACGGUACCUAAUCAGAAAGCCACGGCUAACUACGUG